CCACUGAAGUUGCCCAGUG
This 19-nucleotide small nuclear RNA is filed under the name Arabidopsis thaliana (thale cress). RNAcentral's name for it is "snRNA_14497". The record is from RNAcentral. Lineage: Eukaryota; Viridiplantae; Streptophyta; Magnoliopsida; Brassicales; Brassicaceae.